Molecule: non-coding RNA, 113 nt
Organism: Acanthosepion pharaonis
Lineage: Eukaryota; Metazoa; Mollusca; Cephalopoda; Sepiida; Sepiidae
Source: the annotation of a GenBank genome assembly
UUACGGCCAAAUCACAUUGAAACACAGGUUCCCGUACAAUCACCGAAGUUGAGCAAUGUCGAGCCUUGUCAGUACCUAGAUGAGUGAUCACUUGGGAAUACCAGGUGCUGUAA